GAUGAACGCUGGCGGCGUGCCUAAUACAUGCAAGUCGAGCGAACAGACGAGGAGCUUGCUCCUUUGACGUUAGCCGCGGACGGGUGAGUAACACGUGGAUAACCUACCUAUAAGACUGGGAUAACUUCGGGAAACCGGAGCUAAUACCGGAUAACAUGUUGAACCGCAUGGUUCAACAGUGAAAGACGGUUUUGCUGUCUCUUAUAGAUGGAUCCGCGCCGCAUUAGCUCGUUGGGAAGGUAACGGGUUACCAAGGGAACGAUGCGUAGCCGACGUGAGAGGGUGAUCGGCCACACUGGAACUGAGACACGGUCCAGACUCCUACGGGAGGCAGCAGUAGGGAAUCGUCCGCAAUGGGCGAAAGCCUGACGGAGCAACGCCACGUGAGUGAAGAAGGUCUUCGGAUCGUAAAACUCUGUUAUUAGGGAAGAACAAAUGUGUAAGUAACUAUGCACGUCUUGACGGUACCUAAUCAGAAAGCCACGGCUAACUACGUG
Molecule: ribosomal RNA, 497 nt
Filed under: uncultured bacterium
Lineage: Bacteria
Description: partial 16S ribosomal RNA
Rfam family: Bacterial small subunit ribosomal RNA
Source: RNAcentral